AUACGGAGGGUGCAAGCGUUGUUCGGAUUUAUUGGGCGUAAAGCGAGUGUAGGCGGUUUGACAAGUCGAAUGUGAAAUCCCGAGGCCCAACCUCGGAACUGCAUCCGAAACUGUCAGGCUAGAGUCCCGGAGAGGAUGGCGGAAUUCCCGGUGUAGGGGUGAAAUCCGUAGAUAUCGGGAGGAACACCAGUGGCGAAGGCGGCCAUCUGGACGGUGACUGACGCUGAGACUCGAAAGUGUGGGUAGCAAACAGGAUUAGAAACCCCGUAGUCC
RNAcentral lists this ribosomal RNA (273 nucleotides) under uncultured bacterium. RNAcentral describes it as "partial 16S ribosomal RNA". It matches the Rfam family "Bacterial small subunit ribosomal RNA", at positions 523 to 796 of the family's 1533-position model. The record is from RNAcentral.